RNAcentral lists this ribosomal RNA (335 nucleotides) under uncultured bacterium. Its description in RNAcentral is "bacterial SSU rRNA". It matches the Rfam family "Bacterial small subunit ribosomal RNA", at positions 9 to 341 of the family's 1533-position model. The record is from RNAcentral.
GAGUUUGAUCUUGGCUCAGGAUUAACGCUGGCGGCGUGCAUAACACAUUCAAGUCGAACGGAGAGAGGCAGCUUCGGUUGCGUCAAUCAGUGGCGGACGGGUGAGUAACGCGUGAGUAACCUGCCUGUAAGAGGGGGAUAACACCUGGAAACGGGUGCUAAUACCGCAUAAAUCAUAGUUGUCGCAUGGCAGCGAUGUAAAAGAGGAAUUGCUUACAGAUGGACUCGCGUCUGAUUAGAUAGUUGGUAAGGUAACCGCCUACCAAGUCUGCGAUCAGUAGCCGGACUGAGAGGUUGAACGGCCACAUUGGAACUGAGACACGGUCCAAACUCCUA